Solea solea (common sole) is the source of this 67-nucleotide small nucleolar RNA. RefSeq annotates it as small nucleolar RNA SNORD52. Lineage: Eukaryota; Metazoa; Chordata; Actinopteri; Pleuronectiformes; Soleidae. The transcript has a single exon. The record is from RefSeq and is a predicted model, not a curated record.
UGCUAUGAUGAUUCACUAGACUAGAGUCUCUGAUUUUACAGUGAUGCUAUUCACAGUGCACUGAGCA